CGUUGAAACACCAGUUCUUGUACGAUCACAGAAGUUAAACAACGUCGAACCUGGUUAGUACUUAGAUGGGUGACCGCUUGGGAAUACCAGCUGCUGUAAG
RNAcentral lists this ribosomal RNA (100 nucleotides) under Acanthosepion pharaonis. The record is from RNAcentral. Lineage: Eukaryota; Metazoa; Mollusca; Cephalopoda; Sepiida; Sepiidae.